Lutzomyia longipalpis is the source of this 542-nucleotide long non-coding RNA. RefSeq lists it as uncharacterized. The transcript has 4 exons. Lineage: Eukaryota; Metazoa; Arthropoda; Insecta; Diptera; Psychodidae. The record is from RefSeq and is a predicted model, not a curated record.
UAACAAUUCUUUAUAUUACGAAUUGAUUAAACUAACUAUUUAUAUAAUUUUACUACUUUGUAGUUAAUCAGACUGCAAUAAACAGGAGAGGAAUGGAUCAUAUUCUCAUCGAAACCUUCCUGUCUGUACUUGAAUGGUCUGCCGAUCUCCAAUAAUAAUUGAAACAGGAUGGAGGAGAUCCAAUAGGAAAAAUUAAAAUUUGAAAAUUUCACCGAAUGAGUGCAUAUCAAACCCUGUCAACCCGUAAUCAAAUUGUGGAAAAUCGGGAAAAUUCGAUUGAACAAAGAGGAUAUACACGAAAAGACUACAAUAAACAACCGGAAAAUGGAUCAUAUUCUCAUCGAAGCCCUCUUGUCUGUAUCUGGAUAGAGUCUAUUGAUCGAAAAUAUUGAUUGAGAUAGGAUAGAGGAAGUAAAAUCACGAGAAAUAAAGUUUAAAGAUUCCGCCAACUGACAUAAAGAACAGAACUUUCGCGAUUCCUUGAAAGGGUACUUUGGAAGAAAAAGACGCUGAAGACACUCACAUGAAUCUGCCCAACUUUA